Molecule: ribosomal RNA, 437 nt
Filed under: Enterobacter ludwigii
Lineage: Bacteria; Pseudomonadati; Pseudomonadota; Gammaproteobacteria; Enterobacterales; Enterobacteriaceae
Description: bacterial SSU rRNA
Rfam family: Bacterial small subunit ribosomal RNA
Source: RNAcentral
GUGGCGUGGCGGCAGCUACCAUGCAGUCGAACGGUAGCACAGAGAGCUUGCUCUCGGGUGACGAGUGGCGGACGGGUGAGUAAUGUCUGGGAAACUGCCUGAUGGAGGGGGAUAACUACUGGAAACGGUAGCUAAUACCGCAUAAUGUCGCAAGACCAAAGAGGGGGACCUUCGGGCCUCUUGCCAUCAGAUGUGCCCAGAUGGGAUUAGCUAGUAGGUGGGGUAACGGCUCACCUAGGCGACGAUCCCUAGCUGGUCUGAGAGGAUGACCAGCCACACUGGAACUGAGACACGGUCCAGACUCCUACGGGAGGCAGCAGUGGGGAAUAUUGCUCAAUGGGCGCAAGCCUGAUUCAGCCAUGCCGAGUGUAAGAAGAAGGCCUUCUGGGUGUAAAGGACUUUCAGCGGGGAAGGACGUGUUUUCACACACAUAAACC